This 372-nucleotide ribosomal RNA is filed under the name uncultured organism. RNAcentral's name for it is "bacterial SSU rRNA". It matches the Rfam family "Bacterial small subunit ribosomal RNA", at positions 526 to 896 of the family's 1533-position model. The record is from RNAcentral.
CGUAGGGGGCAAGCGUUGUCCGGAAUCAUUGGGCGUAAAGAGCGUGUAGGCGGUCCGGUUAGUCGGCUGUGAAAGUCCAGGGCUCAACCCUGGGAUGCCGGUCGAUACUGCCGGACUAGAGUCCGGAAGAGGCAAGUGGAAUUCCCGGUGUAGCGGUGAAAUGCGCAGAUAUCGGGAGGAACACCAAUGGCGAAGGCAGCUUGCUGGGACGGUACUGACGCUGAGACGCGAAAGCGUGGGGAGCAAACAGGAUUAGAUACCCUGGUAGUCCACGCCGUAAACGAUGGGCACUAGGUGUGGGAGGUGUCGACUCCUCCCGUGCCGGAGCUAACGCAUUAAGUGCCCCGCCUGGGGAGUACGGCCGCAAGGCUA